CUCCCACCCGUGUUUACUGUACCUUAGUUGCUUCGGCGGGCCCGCCAUUCAUGGCCGCCGGGGGCUCUCAGCCCCGGGCCCGCGCCCGCCGGAGACACCACGAACUCUGUCUGAUCUAGUGAAGUCUGAGUUGAUUGUAUCGCAAUCAGUUAAAACUUUCAACAAUGGAUCUCUUGGUUCCGGCAUCGAUGAAGAACGCAGCGAAAUGCGAUAACUAGUGUGAAUUGCAGAAUUCCGUGAAUCAUCGAGUCUUUGAACGCACAUUGCGCCCCCUGGUAUUCCGGGGGGCAUGCCUGUCCGAGCGUCAUUGCUGCCCAUCAAGCACGGCUUGUGUGUUGGGUCGUCGUCCCCUCUCCGGGGGGGACGGGCCCCAAAGGCAGCGGCGGCACCGCGUCCGAUCCUCGAGCGUAUGGGGCUUUGUCACCCGCUCUGUAGGCCCGGCCGGCGCUUGCCGAACGCAAAUCAAUCUUUUUCCAGGUUGACCUCGGAUCAGGUAGGGAUACCCGCUGAACUUAAGCAUAUCA
This 524-nucleotide ribosomal RNA is filed under the name Aspergillus flavus. RNAcentral's name for it is "eukaryotic LSU rRNA". The stretch from base 154 to 307 matches the Rfam family "5.8S ribosomal RNA". The record is from RNAcentral. Lineage: Eukaryota; Fungi; Ascomycota; Eurotiomycetes; Eurotiales; Aspergillaceae.